This 253-nucleotide ribosomal RNA is filed under the name uncultured bacterium. RNAcentral describes it as "partial 16S ribosomal RNA". It matches the Rfam family "Bacterial small subunit ribosomal RNA", at positions 524 to 776 of the family's 1533-position model. The record is from RNAcentral.
UACGAAGGGGGCUAGCGUUGCUCGGAAUUACUGGGCGUAAAGGGAGCGUAGGCGGAUAUUUAAGUCGGGGGUGAAAGCCCAGGGCUCAACCCUGGAAUUGCCUUCGAUACUGGGUAUCUAGAGUAUGGGAGAGGUGUGUGGAACUCCGAGUGUAGAGGUGAAAUUCGUAGAUAUUCGGAAGAACACCAGUGGCGAAGGCGACACACUGGCCCAUUACUGACGCUGAGGCUCGAAAGCGUGGGGAGCAAACAGG